AACACAAUAAGUAUUCCACCUGGGGAGUACGACCGCAAGGUUGAAACUCAAAGGAAUUGACGGGGGCCCGCACAAGCAGUGGAUUAUGUGGUUUAAUUCGAAGCAACGCGAAGAACCUUACCUGGGCUUGACAUCCAACUAACGAAGCAGAGAUGCAUCAGGUGCCCUUCGGGGAAAGUUGAGACAGGUGGUGCAUGGUUGUCGUCAGCUCGUGUCGUGAGAUGUUGGGUUAAGUCCCGCAACGAGCGCAACCCUUAUUGCUAGUUGCUACGCAAGAGCACUCUAGCGAGACUGCCGUUGACAAAACGGAGGAAGGUGGGGACGACGUCAAAUCAUCAUGCCCCUUAUGUCCAGGGCUACACACGUAAUACAAUGGCGUUCAACAAAGGGAAGCAAAGCCGCAAGGCGGAGCAAAUCCCCAAAAGGCGUCCCAGUUCGGAUCGUGGGCUGCAACCCGCCCACGUGAAGUCGGAAUUGCUAGUAAUCGCGGAUCAGCAUGCCGCGGUGAAUACGUUCCCGGGCCUUGUACACACCGCCCGUCACACCAUGGGAGUCGGUAACACCCGAAGUCGGUAGUCUAACAGCAAUGAGGACGCCGCCGAAGGUGGGAUUGAUGACUGGGGUG
RNAcentral lists this ribosomal RNA (625 nucleotides) under uncultured bacterium. RNAcentral describes it as "bacterial SSU rRNA". It matches the Rfam family "Bacterial small subunit ribosomal RNA", at positions 854 to 1482 of the family's 1533-position model. The record is from RNAcentral.